AUUGAACGCUGGCGGCAGGCCUAACACAUGCAAGUCGAGCGGAUGAAGGGAGCUUGCUCCUGGAUUCAGCAGCGGACGGGUGAGUAAUGCCUAGGAAUCUGCCUGGUAGUGGGGGAUAACGUCCGGAAACGGGCGCUAAUACCGCAUACGUCCUGAGGGAGAAAGUGGGGGAUCUUCGGACCUCACGCUAUCAGAUGAGCCUAGGUCGGAUUAGCUAGUUGGUGGGGUAAAGGCCUACCAAGGCGACGAUCCGUAACUGGUCUGAGAGGAUGAUCAGUCACACUGGAACUGAGACACGGUCCAGACUCCUACGGGAGGCAGCAGUGGGGAAUAUUGGACAAUGGGCGAAAGCCUGAUCCAGCCAUGCCGCGUGUGUGAAGAAGGUCUUCGGAUUGUAAAGCACUUUAAGUGGGGAGGAAGGGCAGUAAGUUAAUACCUUGCUGUUUUGACGUUACCAACAGAAUAAGCAACGGCUAACUUCGUG
Molecule: ribosomal RNA, 484 nt
Filed under: uncultured bacterium
Lineage: Bacteria
Description: partial 16S ribosomal RNA
Rfam family: Bacterial small subunit ribosomal RNA
Source: RNAcentral